UGCCAACCCCACCUGUAUUUCAGCAUCUCCAGAUGCCUGAAGGUAUCCUCAGACGUGCAGAACACAACGCCAUCCACAGCCUCAGAAACAGCUCAGACAUCAUAAUCAAAAAGGCUGACAAAGGAGGUGCUGUCGUCAUCAUGAAUAGGUCGGAAUAUGAACAAGAGGCUGCUCGGCAGCUCUCCAACACCACUUUCUACAAGCCAUUAUCCUCUGAUCCCACUGAGAGUUACCAAAAGAAACGACACCAUCUGCUCAAGAAACUCCCUGAAAAAGCACAAGAACAAAUCUGCACAGACACACCCCUAGAGCCCCAACCAGGGGUCUUCUAUCUGCUACCCAAGAUCCAUAAACAUGGAAAUCCUGGAUGCCCCUUCAUCUGAGGCAUUGGCAUCCUGACAGCAGGAUUGUCUGGUUCUGUAGACUCUCUCCUCAGGCCCUACGCUACCAGCACUCCCAGCUACCACUUCAAUCUCUCUGGUCACUCUCCAAGGAACUCCCCACUCCGAGACACUGUGGCCUGUAAAUGCAGAGCCAGCGUCCUGGAAUCGUCUCCUGGUGCGUGGAGUGGUGGCAGUGGUGGGGGAGCUAGUCUCACUAUACCGAUGUGGGUUUUGGAAAGGUAGGGGGAAAGUGUUUGCCUACUCGUGACUCGUCUUCAGGAAGCUGCUGACUCAUCCCUCCCAGCAGCCUGGAAGUCCGCAGGAUUCACAGGAAUCUGAGCUCCCCGCAGUGUGUGACAGGGACGGGGACCAGGCCCAGGGGACCAGAAACAGGAAUCGAGACCAGCCCUGGAGAAUGGUGAAGGAGACCUGCUCAUGGAGGACAGACGCUUCUCCCAGGAACCCAGAGGAAGGGAUCCAUUAAGUGGGGACACGGGUGUGGCCCAGGAAACUGGAGUAGCAUUGCCAAUCCUCCAGGGUGACCGGGAGUCUGCAGGAAUUCAAGAUUAAUUUUUAAUUAAUCCCUCUUACGGUGCCCCUCAAUGGUGGGGACUAGACUGGGCGAAACUUUUCAUCUAAACCAAUUUUAGGUGAAAAAUGCAGAUUCAGCAGUUUGCGAAUUGGUAUCCGUUCUGCUGAAUUGUUCACAUCCAGCCCCUCCCCCCAGUUCUUAACAAGUCAAAGCAUUUCGUUUAGACACUUUCCAAACAAACUAUUUUGAUUUUUCAGCUUGAAACAAUUUUUUGUUUAAAAAUGUCCUUCAAUUUUAUUUUAAAAAUUCAAAAAGUUACAACCCUUGAAAUGUUCCUGGGUUUUGUUUUAUUUUUAAGCUUUUUGGUUCAUGAAAAAUUUGGAAAAAAUUUAGUUUUGUUCAACCUGAAACCAGUUUUUUUCCAUCUCUUUUUUUGGAAUUGCCAGCGACCAAAAACUUCUGUUUGCCCAGCUCCAGGGGCGGGUGAGGAUUUUAGCGAUAAUAGUGUGGGUCUCUGAGUCUCCUUGUUGCUCAAAGUUUUCUUACUGUUACAAAUGAAUUUGGGAUGAGGGCAGGAUGGGCAAGAGAUUCCUAAAAGUGGGGGGGCUGAUGGCACCCAAACUGUAGCCCAGCCCCUGUGCCACCCCUUCUCCUCGAGGUCCGGCCCCCUCAAACCGCCCCUUACCCUGAGGCCCCCCCUCAUGCCGCCUUUCUCCCUGAUCUCCCACUUCACGCCGCCCCUUCCCCCAAAACACUGCCCCUCCUCUCCCUUCUCUUCCCCCUCAUCCAGUCGCUCACACUUAUGGCCAGAAAAAAGUGGUGGGCCCUGGUCUCCCCUGGAUGAGAGUGGGAGAGGAUGAAGAACUCCUUUCAAAUAUAACCUCCCCCCCCACCUCACAAAAGCACAAUUUGCCAGCAACAGCAAAAGAUGCACCUAACCAACCCGGGCCAGUCACGCUGUGUUGUGUGUGACAUUCCCGUCCUGGGGCGGUUUAUGUCUUUGAGAAUGUGAACCCUGCAGGCCUGGAUGUUUCUCUAUGUAAUGUGACCUCAGUGGUCCUGAUGAGAGCCGUUGUUUUUUAAUGUUUCAGGAGCAGACAUAUUUAUCAUUCAUGGACAUACA
Molecule: non-coding RNA, 2038 nt
Organism: Caretta caretta (loggerhead turtle)
Lineage: Eukaryota; Metazoa; Chordata; Testudines; Cheloniidae
Source: RefSeq, a predicted model, not a curated record